UCUACGGGUGGCAGCAGUGAGGAAUAUUGGUCAAUGGGCGUAAGCCUGAACCAGCCAAGUCGCGUGAGGGAUGAAGGUUCUAUGGAUCGUAAACCUCUUUUAUAAGGGAAUAAAGUGUGGGACGUGUCCUGUUUUGUAUGUACCUUAUGAAUAAGGAUCGGCUAACUCCGUGCCAGCAGCCGCGGUAAUACGGAGGAUCCGAGCGUUAUCCGGAUUUAUUGGGGUUAAAGGGUGCGUAGGCGGCCUUUUAAGUCAGCGGUGAAAGUAUUGGGCUUAACCAUAGAAUUGCCGUUGAAACUGGGAAGAUUGAGUAUGUUUGAGGCAGGCGGAAUGCGUGGUGUAGAGGGGAAAUGCUUAGAUAUCACGCAGAACCCCGAGUGCGAAGGCAGCCUGCCAAGCCAUGACUGACGCUGAUGCACGAAAGCGUGGGGAUCAAACAGGAUUAGAUACCCUUGUAGUC
RNAcentral lists this ribosomal RNA (460 nucleotides) under uncultured bacterium. Its description in RNAcentral is "partial 16S ribosomal RNA". It matches the Rfam family "Bacterial small subunit ribosomal RNA", at positions 338 to 795 of the family's 1533-position model. The record is from RNAcentral.